Molecule: ribosomal RNA, 317 nt
Filed under: uncultured bacterium
Lineage: Bacteria
Description: bacterial SSU rRNA
Rfam family: Bacterial small subunit ribosomal RNA
Source: RNAcentral
GAUAAACGCUGGCGGCGCACAUAAGACAUGCAAGUCGAACGGACUUAAUCGAAAUAUUUAUAUUUUGAAGCGGUUAGUGGCGGACUGGUGAGUAACGCGUAAGGAACCUACCUAUUAGAGGGGAAUAACAGUGAGAAAUCAUUGCUAAUACCGCAUAUGCCAUAGAUAUCACAUGAUAACAGUGGGAAAGGAGCAAUCCGCUAAUAGAUGGCCUUGCGUCUGAUUAGAUAGUUGGCGGGGUAACGGCCCACCAAGGCGACGAUCAGUAGGGGUUCUGAGAGGAAGGUCCCCCACAUUGGAACUGAGACACGGUCCAA